RNAcentral lists this ribosomal RNA (2859 nucleotides) under Bacteroidota bacterium. RNAcentral's name for it is "23S ribosomal RNA". It matches the Rfam family "Bacterial large subunit ribosomal RNA". The record is from RNAcentral. Lineage: Bacteria; Pseudomonadati; Bacteroidota.
AGUAAAUCAGAGCAUAUGGCGGAUGCCUUGGCUCUCAGAGGCUAUGAAGGGCGUGGUAAGCUGCGAAAAGUUACGGGAAGGCGCAAACAGCUUUUAAUCCGUAAAUUCCCGAAUGGGGCAACCCGGUUUGUUGAAGACAAACCAUUCCGAAAGGAAAGCGAACCCGGAGAACUGAAACAUCUAAGUACCCGGAGGAAAAGAAAACAAUUGUGAUUCCCUAAGUAGUGGCGAGCGAAAUGGGAAGAGCCCAAAUUCAGAUGACCACGGUUGUCUGGAGGUUAGGACUGUACAUGAAGUUAAAAUCAAAACAGAAGCAUCUGGAAAGUUGCAUCAAAGAGGGUGAUAAUCCCGUAAGUGUAAGAUUUUAAUGAAUAGCAGUAUCCAGAGUACCGCGAGGUCGGAGACGCCUUGUGGGAAGAUGCCGGCACCAUCCGGUAAGGCUAAAUACUACUGAGAGACCGAUAGUGCACCAGUACCGCGAGGGAAAGGUGAAAAGUACCCCGAACAGGGGAGUGAAAUAGUACCUGAAACCAUAUGUUCACAAUCAGUCGAAGUCUUCGGACAACGGCGUGCCUUUUGCAUAAUGAGCCUACGAGUUACACCUCUUUGGCAAGGUUAACAUUGUUUACGAUGGUAGCCGCAGCGAAAGCGAGUUCGAAUAGAGCGCUUAGUCAGAGGGGGUAGACGCGAAACCUUAGUGAUCUACCCAUGAGCAGGAUGAAGUCUCGGUAACACGAGAUGGAGGUCCGAACUAAUUAGCGUUGAAAAGCUACUGGAUGACUUGUGGGUAGGGGUGAAAGGCCUAUCAAACUGGGAGAUAGCUCGUACUCCUCGAAAUGUUUUUAGGAACAGCCUCAGUAAAUGUUGUCAUAGAGGUAGAGCUACCGAUUGGGCUAGGGGGCUUCAUCGCCUACCAAACCCUGACGAACUCCGAAUGCUAUGACAAAUACUUGGGAGUGAGGCUUUGGGCGCUAAGGUCCAGGGCCAAGAGGGGAACAACCCAGACCAUCAGUUAAGGUCCCUAAAUCUAUGUUAAGUUGAUCAAACGAUGUUUAAUUGCUAUGACAGCUAGGAUGUUGGCUUGGAAGCAGCCAUUCAUUUAAAGAGUGCGUAACAGCUCACUAGUCGAGUGAUUAAGCGCGGAAAAUAAUCGGGCAUAAAACAUAGUACCGAAACUGUGGGCCUUUAAUGGCGGUAGAGGAGCAUUCUGAUCAGCUGCGAAGAUUUGGCGUAAGCCAGGUUGGAGCGUUCAGAAAAGCAGAUGUAGGCAUAAGUAACGAUAAAACGGAUGAAAAAUCCGUUCGCCGUAAGACUAAGGGUUCCUGAUCCACGUUAAUCGAAUCAGGGUUAGUCGGGUCCUAAGGUGUAGCCGAACGGCGAAGCCGAUGGAAAAAAGGUUAAUAUUCCUUUACCAGCUUCAAUGCGAUGGGGUGACGAAGUAGUGAAAGGUAUGCGCACCGACGGAUGUGUGCGUUGAAACCAGUAGGUAUACGAAAGGUUGGUAAAUCCGCCUAUUGUGCUGAAUGGUUACAGUACCGUGAGUCUUCGGACAAUCGGAUAAUUACCCUAAACAGACUUCCUAGAAAAACCUCUAAGCUUCAGUUGAAAGCUGCCCGUACCGUAAACCGACACAGGUAGUCGAGGAGAAUAUCCUAAGGCGCUCGAGUGAGCCGUGGUUAAGGAACUCGGCAAAUUAGUCCUGUAACUUCGGAAGAAAGGACGCCCCGAGCAAUCGGGGCCGCAGUUAAAAGGCCCAGGCGACUGUUUAACAAAAACACAGGGCUAUGCAAAAUCGAAAGAUGAAGUAUAUGGCCUGAUACCUGCCCGGUGCCGGAAGGUUAAGGAAGCUGGUCAGCCGCAAGGCAAAGCUAGUGACUGAAGCCCCGGUAAACGGCGGCCGUAACUAUAACGGUCCUAAGGUAGCGAAAUUCCUUGUCGGGUAAGUUCCGACCUGCACGAAUGGUCUAACGAUCUGGGCACUGUCUCGACCACGAGCUCGGUGAAAUUGUAGUACCGGUGAAGAUGCCGGUUUCCCGCUACGGGACGAAAAGACCCCAUGCACCUUCACUAUAACUUAACAUUGGAUUUGAACAAAUAAUGUGUAGAAUAGGUGGGAGACUUUGAAGUUUUGACGCUAGUCAGAAUGGAGUCACCGUUGAAAUACCACCCUUUAUUUAUUUAGGUUCUAAUCCCAUAAAAAUGGGAAACAGUGUUAGGCGGGUAGUUUGACUGGGGUGGUCGCCUCCUAAAAAGUAACGGAGGCUUUCAAAGGUACCCUCAGCACGCUUGGUAACCGUGCUUAGAGCGCAUUAGCACAAGGGUGCUUGACUGCAAGACAAACAAGUCGAGCAGGGACGAAAGUCGGAUAAAGUGAUCCGGUGGUUCCGCAUGGAAGGGCCAUCGCUCAAAGGAUAAAAGGUACGCUGGGGAUAACAGGCUGAUCUCACCCAAGAGCUCAUAUCGACGGUGAGGUUUGGCACCUCGAUGUCGGUUCGUCACAUCCUGGGGCUGGAGAAGGUCCCAAGGGUUGAGCUGUUCGCUCAUUAAAGUGGCACGUGAACUGGGUUCAGAACGUCGCAAGACAGUUCGGUCUCUAUCUGUAGUGGGCGUAGGAAAUUUGAGAGGACAUGACCCUAGUACGAGAGGACCGGGUUGUACGAACCUCUGGUGUAUCGGUUGUGGCGCCAGCUGCAGCGCCGAUUAGCUAAGUUCGGAAGUGAUAAGCGCUGAAAGCAUCUAAGCGCGAAACACUCCUCAAGAUGAGAUUUUCCGGGGCUGUAAUAGACUAUUACUUUGAUAGGUGGCAGGUGUAAAGGUGGUAACAUCAAAGCCAAGCCAUACUAAUUGCCCUUUAGCUUU